UACGUAGGUGGCAAGCGUUGUCCGGAAUUACUGGGCGUAAAGGGCGUGUAGGCGGUUUAAUAAGUCAGGCGUGAAAACUUAGGGCUUAACCUUAAGAGUGCGUUUGAAACUGAGAGACUAGAGGAUCGGAGAGGGCAGUGGAAUUCCCAGUGUAGCGGUGAAAUGCGUAGAUAUUGGGAGGAACACCAGUGGCGAAGGCGACUGCCUGGACGACACCUGACGCUGAGGCGCGAAAGCUAGGGGAGCAAACGGG
This 253-nucleotide ribosomal RNA is filed under the name uncultured bacterium. RNAcentral describes it as "partial 16S ribosomal RNA". It matches the Rfam family "Bacterial small subunit ribosomal RNA", at positions 524 to 776 of the family's 1533-position model. The record is from RNAcentral.